UACGUAGGAUGCAAGCGUUGUCCGGAAUUAUUGGCGUAAAGAGCGCGCAGGCGGUCUGCCAAGUCAGAUGUGAAAGAGGCCGGCUUAACCGGCAAGGGUCAUUUGAACUGAACAGACUAGAGGACCGGAGAGGAUAGUGGAAUUCCAGUGUAGUGGUGAAAUACGUAGAGAUUGGGAAGAACACCAGUGCGAAGGCGGCUAUCUGGACGGUUUCUGACGCGUAGACGCGAAAGCGUGGGAGCAACAGG
This 248-nucleotide ribosomal RNA is filed under the name uncultured bacterium. RNAcentral describes it as "partial 16S ribosomal RNA". It matches the Rfam family "Bacterial small subunit ribosomal RNA", at positions 524 to 776 of the family's 1533-position model. The record is from RNAcentral.